Molecule: ribosomal RNA, 507 nt
Filed under: Dicladispa testacea
Lineage: Eukaryota; Metazoa; Arthropoda; Insecta; Coleoptera; Chrysomelidae
Description: partial 16S ribosomal RNA
Rfam family: Bacterial large subunit ribosomal RNA
Source: RNAcentral
GUCCUUAUGAUUAUAAUUUAAGGUCUAGCCUGCCCAAUGAAGUUUUAAUGGCCGCAGUAUAUUGACUGUGCUAAGGUAGCAUAAUCAUUAGUUUUUUAAUUGAAAGCUGGAAUGAAGGGUUGGAUGAGACAUUAGCUUUCUUUAUUUUAUUUUUUUAGAAUUUUACUUUUUAGUGAAAAGGCUUAAAUUUUUUUGAGUGACGAGAAGACCCUAUAGAGUUUUAUUAAUUAUUAUUCUUCUUAUUUUGGGAUUUAAUUUGAAGUUUAUAUAUUGAUUUGAUUGGGGUGAUUGAAAAAUUAAAUUAACUUUUUCUUUAUUUUAUACAGUAAUUUCUGGAUGUUUGAUCCUUACAAAAGAUUAAAAGAUUAAACUACCUUAGGGAUAACAGCGUAAUUUAUUUUUGGAGUUCACAUUAAAAAAUGAGUUUGCGACCUCGAUGUUGGAUUAAGGCUUCUUUUUGGUGCAGUAGCUAAAAUAGUAGGUCUGUUCGACCUUUAAUGCCUUACA